UACGUAGGGUGCGAGCGUUAAUCGGAAUUACUGGGCGUAAAGCGUGCGUAGGCGGUUUGCCGUGUCCUGUGUGAAAGCCCCGGGCUCAACCUGGGAAUUGCAUGGGAAACUGGCAGGCUUGAGUGUGGCAGAGGAGGGUGGAAUUCCGCGUGUAGCAGUGAAAUGCGUAGAGAUGCGGAGGAACACCGAUGGCGAAGGCAGCCCUCUGGGCAUUAACUGACGCUGAGGAGCGAAAGCAUGGGGAGCGAACAGG
RNAcentral lists this ribosomal RNA (253 nucleotides) under uncultured bacterium. RNAcentral's name for it is "partial 16S ribosomal RNA". It matches the Rfam family "Bacterial small subunit ribosomal RNA", at positions 524 to 776 of the family's 1533-position model. The record is from RNAcentral.